Long non-coding RNA from Cornus florida, 474 nucleotides. RefSeq lists it as uncharacterized. The transcript has 2 exons. Lineage: Eukaryota; Viridiplantae; Streptophyta; Magnoliopsida; Cornales; Cornaceae. The record is from RefSeq and is a predicted model, not a curated record.
CACUCCUCUCUCAUUUUCUCUCUCCCCGUUUCUUCCUCUCUCUCCCUCAUUUCCCUUCAUUUUUCUUUUCUUUUGGAAGCCAAACUUUGGAUCUUGAUUUCUCUCUCAUUACAUGGUAGAUUUAAGUGCCGUUUGAGGCAAAACGGAAAGCACGACGAACUCUACACGUGGGUACAAGCAAUUUCAGUUUUUGUGCUCCCUAGAGACUUCGAAAUUUGGACCCAUUUUGAGGGUUUUUGCAAUUCUAAGAGGUCUUGGAAAUGAACUGGUGGACAACAAUCCACCUCAAGCUUGAAAGUUGUUAGAAGGUUGUUUGCUAUUUUGUAUUUUGACCAUUAUAUAUAUAUUCAUAGUUGCGGAAAUGUAAUUAAGUUAGUAUUCAUGGCCUUGUAACUUAAGAACGAACUUAUCUUUUGUUUGAUGUAAAUGAAACUAAUGGAAUUAUGGUAUAUAUAUUUUCAUGCAAUUGUAUCA